UAAGUCUCUCCCACCAAUUUCAUCUUAAAUCUUGAUUGACGAAUAAAAAAUUGGAAAGUGAUUCGUGCCUCGACAAAGUGCGGCGCGAUUGCCUCGACACGUGUAAUUCACUCUCUAUUAUCAUUCCUCACUUGCACUUUACUUACUGACCCAAACCCAUUCCCAAAAACUCUCAGCCUCUCUCUCACAUCCUCUAGGUCUCCUCUCUACUGAAACAGCAAAAGUGAUUCAGUUCAGCAAGCAAACCAAAGUGAUUCAGUCCGGCAGUGGAGGGCUUCUGGCCACAUUGCUUUGUUUACCCAACCCAAGCCCUAGAUCCUCAAAUCUCCUUCAUUGACAACCAACAAAAGGAGUAACAUGUCAAUGGCUUACACCUCCACUAGUUCAACCAACGAUGGUCGCCUUUUCGAAAAUCGAGAUUGCAAAUGUGGAAAAAAAAUAGCCAUUAAGAUUGGAGAAGAAUGAUUCUGAAAGAAACAAUGAAGCUUUGCAGAAAUUUGAGCGAAGAUUGGAGCGGCUUGAGGCAAACGCAGAAGCUAUGAAAUUGCUUUCAAUGGCAACCGUAGUGUGUACUAGUUUUAGCUUCCUAAUGGUGUUAAUAUGUUUAAUGUUAAAAUGUAUGUUGUAAACUUAGAUGUUAUUGUGCUGGUUUAGCUUUAAAAUGAAUGAAUGUUUUAGCUUUUCCUUCUUGUUGAAUA
Molecule: long non-coding RNA, 698 nt
Organism: Camellia sinensis
Lineage: Eukaryota; Viridiplantae; Streptophyta; Magnoliopsida; Ericales; Theaceae
Source: RefSeq, a predicted model, not a curated record